Molecule: unclassified non-coding RNA, 651 nt
Filed under: Bombus terrestris (buff-tailed bumblebee)
Lineage: Eukaryota; Metazoa; Arthropoda; Insecta; Hymenoptera; Apidae
Description: misc RNA ENSBTSG00005024821.1
Source: RNAcentral
ACAAAUGUACAAGAUAAAGAAAAGGAAGGGAACGCCACGAAGUGAUGCAUUUCUUCGCACUUUUAAGUCGAAUUAAAGUUCUGUCUGCAUCAAGGGCGAAAUGUUGAAAACGCGGUGCAGCAUCUAUGGAAAUGUGUCUCGAAAGAAUGUUGGAGGAUAUACGCAACAACGUUUCUCAGUCGAUUGCAUAGAAAUUUUAUCCGCCCUUCCGAAAUUCAGUCAACUGUACUGUCCCUACCAGAACUCGUUUUGCUCGAUACACGUGAAUACAAAGAACCAAGAUGCAGACAAAUGUACAAGGUAAGGAAAAGGAAGGGAACGCCACGAAGUGUUGCAUUUCUCCACACUUUUCAACCGAUUUAAAGUUCUGCCUGCAUCAAGGGUGAAGUGUUGAAAAAGCGGUGCAACCCCAAUGGAAAUGUGCCUCAAAAGAAUGUUGGAAGACACACUCAACAACGUUUUCCAGUCGGUUGCAUAUAAUUUCAAUCCGUCUUAUCGCAAUCCGACGUUUCGAGAAUUGCUAAUUUAGAACUCGUUUUGCUCGAUGCACGUGCAUACAAGGAACCAAGAUGCAGACAAACGUACAAUAUAAAGAAAAGGAAGGGAACCGCCACGAAGUGAUGCAUUUCUUCGCACUUUUAAACCGAUUUA